AUUGAACGCUGGCGGCAGGCCUAACACAUGCAAGUCGAACGGUAACAGGAAGAAGCUUGCUUCUUUGCUGACGAGUGGCGGACGGGUGAGUAAUGUCUGGGAAACUGCCUGAUGGAGGGGGAUAACUACUGGAAACGGUAGCUAAUACCGCAUAACGUCGCAAGACCAAAGAGGGGGAACUUCGGGCCUCUUGCCAUCGGAUGUGCCCAGAUGGGAUUAGCUUGUUGGUGGGGUCACGGCCCACCAAGGCGACGAUCCCUAGCUGGUCUGCGAGGAUGACCAGCCACACUGGAACUGAGACACGGUCCAGACUCCUACGGGAGGCAGCAGUGGGGAAUAUUGCACAAUGGGCGCAAGCCUGAUGCAGCCAUGCCGCGUGUAUGAAGAAGGCCUUCGGGUUGUAAAGUACUUUCAGCGGGGAGGAAGGGAGUAAAGUUAAUACCUUUGCUCAUUGACGUUACCCGCAGAAGAAGCACCGGCUAACUCCGUG
This 490-nucleotide ribosomal RNA is filed under the name uncultured bacterium. RNAcentral describes it as "partial 16S ribosomal RNA". It matches the Rfam family "Bacterial small subunit ribosomal RNA", at positions 30 to 507 of the family's 1533-position model. The record is from RNAcentral.